CGCCGCCCCCGCCCCCCUACGGGAGGCAGCAGUAAGGAAUAUUGCGCAAUGGGCGAAAGCCUGACGCAGCGACGCCGCGUGGGGGAUGAAGGUCUUCGGAUUGUAAACCCCUUUCGGGAGGGAAGAUGGAAUGGGGUAACCCAUUCGGACGGUACCUCCAGAAGCAGCCACGGCUAACUUCGUGCCAGCAGCCGCGGUAAUACGAAGGUGGCGAGCGUUGUUUGGAUUUAGUGGGCGUACAGGGAGCGUGGGCGGUUCGGUAAGCCCUUUGUGAAAUCUCCAGGCUUCACCUGGAACAGUCGGAGGGGACUGCCGGGCUAGAGGACGGGAGAGGAGCGCAGAAUUCCCGGUGGAGCGGUGAAGUGCGUAGAGAUCGGGAGGAAGGCCGGGGGCGAGGGCGGCGCUCUGGAACGUUUCUGACGGUGAGGCUAGA
Molecule: ribosomal RNA, 433 nt
Filed under: uncultured bacterium
Lineage: Bacteria
Description: bacterial SSU rRNA
Rfam family: Bacterial small subunit ribosomal RNA
Source: RNAcentral